This 73-nucleotide transfer RNA is filed under the name Lactococcus lactis. RNAcentral describes it as "tRNA-Asp". It matches the Rfam family "tRNA". Rfam says of the family: Transfer RNA (tRNA) molecules are approximately 80 nucleotides in length. Lineage: Bacteria; Bacillati; Bacillota; Bacilli; Lactobacillales; Streptococcaceae. The record is from RNAcentral. RNAcentral also lists the same sequence under 2 other names.
GGUUCUGUAGUGUAGCGGUUAUCACGUCGCCCUGUCACGGCGAAGAUCGCGGGUUCAAUUCCCGUCAGAACCG